This 106-nucleotide ribosomal RNA is filed under the name Streptococcus pneumoniae. The record is from RNAcentral. RNAcentral also lists the same sequence under 5 other names. Lineage: Bacteria; Bacillati; Bacillota; Bacilli; Lactobacillales; Streptococcaceae.
UGGUAAUGAUGGCAGAGAGGUCACACCCGUUCCCAUACCGAACACGGAAGUUAAGCUCUCUAGCGCCGAUGGUAGUUGGGACCUUGUCCCUGUGAGAGUAGGACGU